GGCUCUCUUGGGGGUUGGCAGCUACCAAAGAAGUUGGAGGUUGCUGAUCUGUGCUCCUGGGACACCUUUGGAUCAUCUUACAAGCAGCCCUCUGAAGCAGGAGUGGAUGGGAGCUUUUCAAUGCCCUUAGGUGGACAAAGGGACAAUACUGGGAGCUUCAGCCAUUCUCUGGACCAUCUAGGACUCCUCAUCUGGACUCCAGCCUCUACUUGCCAAAAGACUCUAUAUGGUGCAGGGGAGACUAGCAUCUUUGGCGUGAGGGCUUGCUCAGCCCUUUUCAGGGCUGUUCAUGCAUCUUUGGUGUCCACCUUCCAUCCAACUCUCUCCUGUAACUCCAAGGAGCUAAAGCAGGAAGCCGCCACCUCCUUGUAAAACAGCUAAGCAGAUGGGCUAAAUCAGGUUGAAGUAACUGACAUGGGCCUCCCUAUUCCUUGAGACCCAGCAAUAUUGAAGUUAGGUCAAUUAAUAAGCCAACAGUGACCUUCAAGUAUUCAAGCCAAAGGAAGAGUCUAUCAAUGGGGCAAACUUCAUUGUUGUCUUAUAUUAAGAAAUUGCUACAAUCCAUUGCAACCUUUACCAAUCACCCAGCUGAUUAGUCAGGAGCAAGACCCUGAAUCAACAAAAAGAUUCCUACUCCCUGAAGGCUCAAACGAUGGUUAGCAUUUUUAACAAAACUAUUUUUUUUAAACUAAGAGUUCAGGAAAAGUGGAGAGAAUGAAUAAAGAACUAAAACCAAUAAUUGGUAAAUUAUGUGUAGAAACACACUUGAAAUGGCCUGAUAUUUUGCCAUUAGCUUUAUUUUACCUAAGAACUAGACCAAGAGGAGAUUUGCACAUAUCACCAUAUGAAAUGUCAUUUUGACUUCCACCCAUACAAGCAAAGACAUUUAGCUCUAUUUAUGCCUCAAUGUUAACUGGUAACACGAUAAUUGAAGAAUAUAUUAGAGAUUUGCAGAUUAAGAUCAAGGAAUUAUAAGAAUUAGGACCAAUAGUGCAAACAAGGACCUAUAGACUUUUUGUUUCCUGAUCUACAUCCUGGGGAUACAGUGUAUGUAAAGAACUUUCAAUGCACUGGAGGAACUCAGCCAGUCUGGGAAGGUCCAUUUUAAGUACUCUUGACAAUCUCUACAACCAUCAAGAUAGGAGAAAAAACAGCAUGGAUACAUUGUUCAAAUGUGAAAAAGGGACCUGCCAUCUAAAAUGAUUAGCUGCAUACAUAGAGGACAAGACUACAGAUACAACUGGACAUUUUUUAAAGGACUUUGAAAUUCAAGAAGACUACAAAUGGACAAUUGGACAAUAUUUACAAGAACACUCCAUUACUACAAGGACUACUACAAAUGGACAUAAGUUUAAGGAUAUUGAACUUUGCACUUAAAUAAAGGUUUCUCAUACAUAAAGGUUUGAAAUGGAAUGUAAUGGGUAAGUGUAUAAUUUAUUAUGCUAUUUUAUUAUGUUAUUUGUUAUAUAUUAUGUUAUAGGAUUUAUUAGUUUUUAUGUAGAAAUAAUUAUAAUAACAAUACUUUUAUAGGAUUAUAGAAAAAGCUAUAGAUAUAAUGUAAUUUUAAAGGAAAAAGUUAAAAGUAACUAAAUGGUAAAAUGUUAUAACUGUUGAUCAAGAUCCUCCUCAGGGGCGUUAUAUUAGAUGUAUAAUAUAUUAGAAAAUAUAUUAGAUAUAUUAAUGUAUAAAUACAUAUAUUGAGAUUAGAUCCACCUCA
This is a non-coding RNA of Monodelphis domestica (gray short-tailed opossum), 1717 nucleotides long. The record is from RefSeq and is a predicted model, not a curated record. Lineage: Eukaryota; Metazoa; Chordata; Mammalia; Didelphimorphia; Didelphidae.